Non-coding RNA from Durio zibethinus, 3676 nucleotides. The record is from RefSeq and is a predicted model, not a curated record. Lineage: Eukaryota; Viridiplantae; Streptophyta; Magnoliopsida; Malvales; Malvaceae.
AAGAAAAAAAGAAAAAAAAAAGGAGAUCAAGGAAGCUUACGUCUUCAAAAAAUGUAUCUGAGAAAAAACAUCAAACAGCUUCCCUCCAUUUCCAUUACCAAAUCUUUAUCAUUCCUUAGCCCUUUUCGUCGCUUUUCUUCUUCUCUUUCCAUUCUCUCAGCUAACAGCUCGACAUCUGAUCCAGACCCAUAUUCUCUUUUAAAACAGGACCCGAUUGACAUCUGCCUUUCAAUCUGGGUCAAAUCCUUCUCUUCACCACCCACCGCCACUUUCCCAAACCUCACUGGCUUCCUCUCGAAAUUCGACCUUUGGGUAUUAGCUUACCAACGCUCCUGCGCUCACGUGACCGGCACGUUUCCUCCCCGCAAUGCCAUCCAUUCCCAGACCCUGCAUUCCCUUCUAUCCCUCCAAAAUGCCGUCGUUCACGGCCGCCGUUUCAAGUGGCACAACAAGACCAAUCAGCUUAUUCGUAGCCCAAACGACAAGCCGUCAACGAGUUUAAUCUCAAAGAGGAAACUUCAAGCUAUGCUUGAAUCCCCUGACGCCUGUUUCCAAGACCGGGUUGUUCAAGAGGUUCUCUUGAUGGUCUUGGAACCGAUUUUUGAACGCCGAUUUUCUAGCAAAUCUCAUGCCUUUAGGCCUGGAAGGAGUGCCCAUACCGUUAUCCGGACUAUUCGGAGUAACUUUGCUGGGUAUCUGUGGUUUUUAAAAGGUGACCUGAGUGCGUUAUUUGAUAAUGUGGAUGUAGAUGUAAUCUUGGGUUCUGUCGAAAAGGUUGUAAAAGAUAAGAAAGUUUUGAAUUUGAUUAAAUCCGGGCUUAACGUGCGUGUUAAGAAGAGAUUAAAGAGUGAUGAUGAUGGUGGUGGAGGUGGAGAUUUGAAGAGCAAGAGAAAGAAAAAGAGAACGGCUACUAAGAAGAAGAUUUUGAAUGAGAACGAGCCAAAACCCGACCCCUAUUGGUUGAGGACUUUCUUUGAUUUUUCUCCUGAGGAAGCUGCUAAGGUACCUUCUUAUGGUUAUUGUGGAAUUUUAAGUCCUUUACUUGCUAAUGUGUGUCUUAAUGAAUUGGACCAAGUGAUGGAAGAGAAGAUAAUUAAGUUCUUUAGGCCAUCUAAGCAUGAUUCCAUAUGGAAAGAUACAAUUAAUGAUGGAUGUCAUAACCCUUCUUGGCCUGAGUUUGUUCCGUCUAGUGGUAGAGAGAAAACUAGGAAAAUGGAUUACAUAAGAUAUGGAGGCCAUUUUUUGAUUGGCAUUCGAGGACCCAGAGAGGAUGCAGUGCAAAUUAGAAAGGAAAUAAUUGAGUUUUGUGAGAGUGAAUUUGGGAUACGGUUGGAUAAUUCUAAAGUGGAGAUAGAACAUAUUAGUAGAGGAAUUCAAUUCUUGGACCAUAUAAUUUGUAGGAGAGUGAUACACCCUACCCUUCGUUACACUGCUAGUGGAGGCAAUAUUGUGAGCCAAAAGGGUGUAGGGACUUUGCUUUCGGUUACAGCUAGCUUACAGCAAUGUAUUCGUAAGUUCAGGCAGCUUCAGUUUGUCAAGGGUGACAAGGAUCCCGAGCCUCUGCCUUGUACCCCAAUGCUCUACUCGAGUCAAGCUCAUACAAAUUCACAGAUGAAUAAGUUUCUUGAGACCAUGGCUGAUUGGUACAGAUAUGCUGACAAUCGAAAGAAAGUUGUUGGCUUUUGUGCUUAUGUGAUUCGUAGUUCAUUAGCUAAACUGUAUGCUGCAAGGUAUAGGCUAAAAUCUCGAGCCAAGGUGUAUAAGAUAGCUUCACGUGAUCUUAGUCGUCCAUUGAGGGAGAGCAGCAACAAUUCUGCACCCGAAUACUCUGACCUUUUAAGGAUGGGACUUGUUGAUGCAAUUGAACGUGUUCAGUUCUCACACAUGUCUCUGAUUCCAUCUUGUGAUUACACUCCAUUUUCUAGGAAUUGGGUACCAGACCAUGAGCAGCUUUUGCAUGAGUAUAUUAGACUACAAGACCCAAAAUUCUUCUGCAACUUGCAUAGAGCUAUAAAACGUGAAGGCCUAAGUUUGCCUCAAGAUGAGAUAUCUGGGAUUGUGUGGGAUUAUAAGACUCUGGGAAUUUGGAGAUAUCGUUAUAAUAGUGGCAAAGAAACAAAAGAGGUUUCAGAAUAAAAGGUAGGGAAGUUUGCAGUUUUUCCCAGUAGUAUAUAAUAGUUUGUGCUUGGUUUUCCUACCUCAUGUUACAAUUGUUGUCUACAAGCUAAUUUAUGCCAUGAAAGUGGGCAAUCUUUGAUCCUUUGCUGCUUGGGGAAAAAUCAUUUUAGUAAUCUGUCUUUUCUCCAAACAGAUAAAAGAACAAAUACUUCACUUGAGCAUCAUUGGAAAAAAUGUCUUGAAGGAUCCAAUGAAUCUGCUAAAGUUUCACUUGGAAUGCAAAGGGACCCAUGUUCAAUCCUGCCUACAUCAAAGUUUCACUUGGAAUGAAUCUGCUAGCUCUUACUGCAUAUUCCAGUGUUAGAAACAACUGAGAUUCUUUUAACAUAGGAAAAUGAAUGUAAAAAAUCUUGGUUUUAAUCAUGGAAGAAAAUCUGUUGUCAUUGCUGCCAUAAAAAGUAGCAAUUGUUGCCGCAGCAUCAUAGUUAAAGAGGGAAGAAGAUGUGAGUUUGCUGGUAGAUCCCAGGUGAGAUUUUCAGAAAUUUGUCUGGUUUUAAUUCUUAAUUUUAUGGUGAAUGAGGCAUUUCAAUCUUUUGAGGAAGAACUCGAGGGGCAAUCAUAGCUUCCUUUAUCAUAAUUAUUUUACCUUGUACAUAUACUAUAUAAUUUUCAUUCAGGAAAAAUCAACAGAAACAAAGUGCAGUUGUCUUUUUAUGAGUCUCAAUGGCACAAGAGAAGUUUCCAUCACAUCCAACCUUAAAGCAAGUUGAUUGAUCUCAAGUUUUGAGCUGCAUAAUUUUUGUCUUCUGCCACUUUUAUAAGAUCCAUUCUUUCUUUUAACUUUUUUCCCUCUUUUCAAUUGCUUUUGAUCUAUUCAUAUGAUUACAUAUAGUCUUAUGACCUUUCUUAUGCUUGUCAUCAAAUUCAUUCCGUUCUUAGUUGUAAAGCACACAUGCGGUCACAUAUAUCAGAAUAUGUUCCAUCAUGAUGAGAUUUUGUAGCUGAAGGUUGACAUUCUAUCUAUGUUUUCAGUCGAACUGUGGGGAGUUUUAAGUGAUCUACAAAGUCAAUUAUAUUGAUUUGUUAAAAUGUUGACAAGGAACUUAGGAACAGUAGUCUGAUUUCUAUAAGAUAGUUUUAUAUAUUUAAGGAAGAAUGAUCCCCAUAGCAUGAGAUAGUGAGUGCAAAAGCGCUGAAUCAAAUGGAAAAAGGUCAUGAUUUUUUUUGGCCAAUAUAGAAAAAGAUGAUGACGAUCAAAGUUAUGAUUAGAGAUACUCUAUUUUUGAGAAGAUACUAGAAACAGAAUAAGAUUUGCAGCAACAUACAGUAAUAAUAAAGAUGAUGAUGGCAGUGAUGAGGAGAUUGCCAAGUUAUUGAAACAAGUCAUAAUGAAAGAUAAUCAACACUCUAGUCUAGAGAAACUGCUAACAUAAUGUCUCAUCUAACAAAUGAAUUUCAUGCAAACAAAAGCUGAAUAUAGUGCUAGAAAAAAGAAAAUAAAAUAAAAAGAGAGAAAGAAAAGGCAGUGGAUAGUUGUAAUAUGCCUUGUAUGAUUUCU